RNAcentral lists this ribosomal RNA (379 nucleotides) under uncultured bacterium. RNAcentral describes it as "bacterial SSU rRNA". It matches the Rfam family "Bacterial small subunit ribosomal RNA", at positions 521 to 896 of the family's 1533-position model. The record is from RNAcentral.
UAAUACGGAGGGGGCAAGCGUUGUCCGGACUUACUGGGCGUAAAGGGUGCGUAGGCGGUUGCGUGCGUCAGCGCUGAAAUCCGUGGGCUCAACCCACGGGCGCGUGCUGAUACGACGCGACUUGAGGCUCGGAGAGGGUGGGAGAACUCCUGGUGUAGUGGUGAAAUGCGUAGAGAUCAGGAAGAAUACCCGUGGCGCAAGCGCCCACCUGGCCGAGACCUGACGCUAAGGCACGAAAGCGUGGGGAGCGAACCGGAUUAGAUACCCGGGUAGUCCACGCCGUAAACGAUGUCGACUCGGGGUGUGUGGACCGUUAAGGUCCGUGCGCCCCCAAGCUUACGCGGAAGUCGACCGCCUGGGAACUACGAGCGCAAGCUUA